RNA transcript from Carassius gibelio (silver crucian carp), 4870 nucleotides. It is a transcript of the gene named ST6 (alpha-N-acetyl-neuraminyl-2,3-beta-galactosyl-1,3)-N-acetylgalactosaminide alpha-2,6-sialyltransferase, with no coding region annotated. The transcript has 11 exons. Lineage: Eukaryota; Metazoa; Chordata; Actinopteri; Cypriniformes; Cyprinidae. The record is from RefSeq and is a predicted model, not a curated record.
GGCCGCCUCUCGAGCCCAGUGUGUGCGAGUGUGACUGAGAGUUGAGUUGUUAAAGCAGGCACACUGCUGCUCGACUUCACCCUUCUCCGCUUGACAGGAUUUCCCUUUCAGAAGUCCUGGUGGUGCCGGGAGACUCCAACGUAUGAAAGCCGGAGCUCAAAACCUACUAAUUAAUUGGCAACGACCCUCCCAACCCUUUCCCUUGAGGAGCACUUUUAAACCCCAGUUUCAUCAAAACACUUCAACCGCUUCAACCCUUCCUCAGGAGAACGCUCAUGUGCUUACAAGGUGACCAGAUGUUCUGGGGAACACAGACUUGCAACACAAGGAAAGUAGCACGAUGACAGGCCGGCUGCCCUCGAGGCUUGUGCUGUGGUUCAUAGGGUUGUUGGGUGUCGCGUUAUUGACAUUAUUCCUGGUUUGCGUGACUAUGCAGAAUCAGGUGCCAUGGCAAGUGAUGAGUCUGCAAAACUUCAGGUUUUUUUCUGACAGGAAUAACAGCAUUUCUUUGAAAAAUCAACCAUCUUCUGAGAAUGAACUGGACACUCAACUGGGGCAAAAUUCAUUGCAGAAAUCAGAUGUUCAGAAUUCAUUGCAGAAAUCAGAUGUUCAGAAUUCAUUGCAGAAAUCAGAUGUUCAGAAUUCAUUGCAGAAACCAGAUGUUCAGAAUUCAUUUCAGAAACCAGAUGUUAUGAAAUCAUUGCAGAAAUCAGAUGUUCAGAAUUCAUUGCAGAAAUCAGAUGUUCAGAAUUCAUUGCAGAAAUCAGAUGUUCAGAAUUCAUUGCAGAAACCAGAUGUUCAGAAUUCAUUUCAGAAACCAGAUGUUAUGAAAUCAUUGCAGAAAUCAGAUGUUCAGAAUUCAUUGCAGAAAUCAGAUUUUCAGAAUUCAUUGCAGAAAUCAGAUUUUCAGAAUUCAUUGCAGAAAUCAGUGUCAGGAAAUGAUGCAAAGUCUGAUCAAGCAAAUUCAAUCACAAUCUCCUUAAAACCAGUGCCAAAACCCACUGAGACUGACUUUUUUGGUGACCAGUAUGCCACAGAUGACUUUCCUUCACAAACCAACUGUCCCAACAAUAUUAGAAAGCGUGUGCCUCAGACUCAAUUUGCUGAGAUGUUUCUGCACAAUAUUCCAGUGCUCCAAUGGGCAAAGCAUUUUAGUCCAGAAGAGUACCAGCGGUUGAGUCACUUUAGUGGAGCACACGGCUGGGGAAGUGUCAAAGCUGAAGUUUUGAAUAGCUCACUGGCAAUUUUAAAUAGAACUGCAAAUCGGAUGAUGUUUGAUGACUGGGAGAAUAGAGCAGAACGAUCCGAUUGCAUUCGCUGCGCUGUGGUGGGAAAUGGGGGAAUACUGAAUGGUUCAAGGAAAGGCAAGGAGAUCGAUGACCAUCACUACGUCUUUAGGGUAAAUGGUGCGGCUCUUAAAGGGUUUGAGGAUGAUGUGGGAUCCCGGACUUCCUUCUACACAUUCUCAACCAACACCAUGCGAAACUCCAUAAAUAGCUAUGCUCACAUAGGCUACAGAGGGCCACCUAUAUCCAAGGAAACCAGGUACAUAUUCCUGCCAGACCAUGACCGAGAUUAUAUUCUUAUGAAGGCGGCUUCCACACACACAGCAAUUGAUCAAGGCCCUGAGCGCAGCAAAAAGCCCCCUACAUACUUUGGUGAAGAUGUGACUGUUGAAAAAUUCAAAAUCUACCACCCAGACUUUAUCCGCUACCUCCGAAACAGGUUCCUGCAUUCAAACCUUCUGAAAACAAACGCGAGAGGAAUUUACAGGCCGUCGACAGGAGCAGUGAUGCUCCUUGCUGCUAUUCAUACAUGUGACCAGGUUGAUGCUUACGGGUUCAUGACCCCUGACUACAGUAUGUAUUCAGACCACUACUACGACAAACAGCGCCAUGAAGUGCAUUUCUAUGCCAAUCAUGACAUGCGAAUGGAAAUGAGGUUGUGGCAAGAGCUGCAUAAUGCCGGUCUGAUCAAUCUCUUCAUGCGCCGAUAAGCACAUAUGGAUGGACGCUACACACUGUAUAACGUGUUUUUUAUUGUGAGAAGAACUGAAAAACCUCUGGUAGGUGUGUGAAGGACAAGCCUGUUAUUCCCCCAAUGGUAUUAGACAUAUUUGCCUUCUGAAGGAAAAGUUAAUAACUGUUGUUCAACAAAAAACUACGUGCAGAGGCUAUGUAGUCAACACUUUAGAUUGAUUGUCUUUUGAGUCAAUUCACGAGAGACAAAUGGCUGACAUGUGUUUUAGGGAGAGGCCUUGUAAACAUCGAUAUAGUGUUCAGGAAUGACUGAAUAACUCUUGUGUUCUCGGCUGCUGUUUGUUCACACAUAUUGAGUCAUUUCACAUCGAGGCUGGGCAGGACGAAUCAUGGUCUUAAUUUGGGCCACGUACAAAGAUUCUGUAAUAAGUGCCUUAAUACUUCUCACACGCUGGACUGUCAUGGCGUGUGAGAAACAGCGAUUCAGAGAACACUACGUGAAAAAUACUCAACCAAAGAGAAUAAUUUAAAUGAUUUUAUUUUUAAUUCUUAAUCCUAUUUUUAACAUUGCGUGCGAGUAUAAAUGUUUCUAGGUGGUCCGUUCAAAAUGUAUCUGUUGCCAUGUUGCAUCACGUGGAAAUGAAGAAGUUUUUGUUUUUAAGAGACUUUUUAUGCUUGGGCUGUAAUGUUUACAGCUUAACUUUACUUGGAAGCUUUAAAGUGCAAUAGCUUAUGGCUUACAAUCUGUUUGAAUCAAAAUGUGAAUUUCUUUUGUGAUUUGUUUGAUCCUGCUAUGGUGUGUUUGGUCACUUGAUGCUAUCUCAUGAUUGUAUUUAACAAAUUCUUUACCAAAUAAUUGAACUGCUAUGUUCACUCAAAUUAACUGGUGUCGAGGAUCACCACACUCCUGGUUCACGAGUUCAUAAAUCAUUCCAACUUUAAUAAAACAUAUUUUUGGAAACAAAUGCUAGUAACAGAGAUUGAACGAUGGUCCUAAAGCAAGGGUGUAUUUUAAACUCAUAAUAAAUCCUUUGAAAUGGUGUUGUUGAUUUAAAAAUGAUAUGCCUCUGUUUUUUCUCAGAGUGCUGUGAAUAUGGGCCUUAGUUAUAGUGUGGAAAUCAGUUCUAUAUAGUUCGGUUUAAAUAGUAGUUGAACUUAAAAAUAACCUUAAAAGUGUUUAGAGCUAAAUCUAAGAGAUAUAUACAUACUCUAACUCCCAGAAUGCUGGUAUUGUUUUACUUUUCAUUGUCCACAUUAUAUUUAUGUUUCUGUGUACAUAAGGGGUGAACUGACUGAAAUAAUGUCAGUUUGCUUUAUGGAGCUAAAUAUUUGUACCAGCUUAUACUAUCACUUCCUUAAGCAAUAUUUGAUCACAUAAAUACAGUUUGAGGGCGAUGUAGUACAAUGUAUAUCCCUAAACGGCUUGUCGUCAGGCCAUAAAUCUGGCAACUUAAUCUAGAGUUCAAUAUAUUUUACAUUUAAAUUGCAGUGUGUCAAUUUUAGCGGCAUCUAGCGGUAAGUCUAAAAAUCAAAGAUUCAAAAAGGGUGUUUACACAGUGAUGCCAUAGUAAAGAACCAUUUUAUUUCCGAAAGAACAUAUCGAUGAACAGUUCUUAGCAGAACCAUUUUUAUUAGUGUGAAGAACAUUUUCACAUUUUUUUCUCUUUUAUCUACAUCGUCACACUUUGUCACCGGGAGACUUCUAAAAGUGCUUCUUUCCCAGUGUUCAGGAGUCGGUGAGUCAUGUGUUUUAAAUACCAAUAAAAGACGAUGAGACAAUCAUAUUCUAAAGGCGAUUGCAAUGGAUGCUCAUAAACUAGAAGAAUUCUGAUAAAACGUUGCAACAUGUGAUUUGCCGUUCCUGCCCUCUUCUGCCAUCUAGUGUUGAAUGUUCGCAGUUGCAGGCUUAUUCGUCAUAUAAUUAAUGUGUACACACCUCACUUUAGUGCGCUGUCUGUGUAAUUAAUGGUUGGAUUAUAAGACCUGAACACGGAGGCACUGAAUGUGAUUUGUUUACCUCUGAGUUCCAGACGUCCAUCUCUAUCAAUGUCUGCUGACUCCAUAAUGACCUGUGUGUCUUCACCUGACAGAGGCGCCUGGGGUAGGAUACAGACCAUGGACAAAAUAUCAGAGAAAGAUGUUGUUCAGCCAGAGAUGAUGACAGUGCACAAACAGACUGACAAUGUAAAAGUGGGCUGUGAAUGCUUAAAUUACAGUCUUGUGAUGAAUUUCACACUGUUAAAUGACAGCGUGUGGGUGAGGUGUUUCUCUGCAGCUUUCUUUAUCUUUUUACACUCACGGUUCACUUUUUUUCUUUAUUCUGAGACUGAACAUUCUUUUUUUAUAGACUCCUGCACCUCUGAGGAUUUAAACUCUGUCAUGAAAUCUAGAAACAUACUGUACUAUUUUUCUGAUUCACCAUCAUGCCCAGAGCAACUUCAUCUGCGGUCCAAAGCCAUCUGCUGUUAUGUCAGCUUAAAUAUAUUUGGAAGUUUCAGUAUCAAAAUAGAUGCAACAUUUUAGCUCCAGUAACCCUCUCUACAUGCUUGUGUAAGCAUAACGUCUUUAAUAAUAAUGACUGACGCAGAGAUGUUAUCAUGUACUGUAUAAAUGAGUGUUUACACGACGGGUGAAAGAUGUUUUAAUAAUUGUAAUGAUCAUUAACUCUCACCAUUUGAAUAAUGAGGGAAAUGAAGUCUCGAGUCUAUGGCUCCUCUGAGAGGCAGCAUCUUACUUCCCCCAAAGGCACGACUUGCAAUAUGACUUAUGUUAAUGAAGCAAAAGUGUGGCCUUAAAAGACCUGGUUGGAGACCUGACAGAAACAGCAUUGUUGUUCUUGUUUUGCCAUCAAUAACCUGUGAAUUUAUGCAAUUAAAUUGUACGUUCUUUGA